RNAcentral lists this ribosomal RNA (480 nucleotides) under uncultured bacterium. RNAcentral's name for it is "bacterial SSU rRNA". It matches the Rfam family "Bacterial small subunit ribosomal RNA", at positions 28 to 490 of the family's 1533-position model. The record is from RNAcentral.
GAUGAACGCUGGCGGCGUGCCUAAUACAUGCAAGUCGAGCGAACAGAUAAGGAGCUUGCUCCUUUGACGUUAGCGGCGGACGGGUGAGUAACACGUGGAUAACCUACCUAUAAGACUGGGAUAACUUCGGGAAACCGGAGCUAAUACCGGAUAACAUAUUGAACCGCAUGGUUCAAUAGUGAAAGGCGGCUUUGCUGUCACUUAUAGAUGGAUCCGCGCCGUAUUAGCUAGUUGGUAAGGUGACGGCUUACCAAGGCAACGAUACGUAGCCGACCUGAGAAGGUGAUCGGCCACACUGGAACUGAGACACGGUCCAGACUCCUACGGGAGGCAGCAGUAGGGAAUCUUCCGCAAUGGGCGAAAGCCUGACGGAGCAACGCCGCGUGAGUGAUGAAGGUCUUCGGAUCGUAAAACUCUGUUAUCAGGGAAGAACAAAUGUGUAAGUAACUGUGCACAUCUUGACGGUACCUGAUCAGAAAG